This 402-nucleotide ribosomal RNA is filed under the name uncultured bacterium. RNAcentral's name for it is "bacterial SSU rRNA". It matches the Rfam family "Bacterial small subunit ribosomal RNA", at positions 355 to 774 of the family's 1533-position model. The record is from RNAcentral.
UGGGGAAUCUUGCACAAUGGGGGCAACCCUGAUGCAGCGACGCCGCGUGAGCGAUGAAGCCCUUCGGGGCGUAAAGCUCUUUCGACCGGAACGAUAAUGACGGUACCGGGAGAAGAAGCUGCGGCUAACUACGUGCCAGCAGCCGCGGUAAUACGUAGGCAGCAAGAGUUGUUCGGAGUUACUGGGCGUAAAGAGUGCGUAGGCGGUUUUCUAAGUUCGGUGUGAAAUCUCCCGGCUUAACUGGGAGGGUGCGCCGAAGGCUGGGAAGAUGGAGUGUGGGAAAGGCAGGCGGAAUUCCUGGUGUAGCGGUGAAAUGCGUAGAUAUCAGGAGGAACACCGGCGGUGUAGACGGCUUGCUAGACCAUAACUGACGCUGAGGCACGAAAGCGUGGGUAGCAAACA